Molecule: unclassified non-coding RNA, 333 nt
Filed under: Hevea brasiliensis (rubber tree)
Lineage: Eukaryota; Viridiplantae; Streptophyta; Magnoliopsida; Malpighiales; Euphorbiaceae
Source: RNAcentral
AGAGAAGCCAGUACAACCUGCAGCGCCAGCCCCGGCACCAGCAGCAACAGCACCCCCAGCCAAGACUGCUCAGGGAGGAUCUAAGAAGUCAAAGAAGUGAGGAUGGCGAACUUUAAGGAGGGUUGGCUUUAUAUCUGUUUUUUGUUAUUAUGCCAGUUUAGUAUCUUUUAUAUGUUCCCUAUUUGGUUCAUGUACUUUAAGAAUCAAUGUUUUACCUACAUGAAGUUGAAUAGAUGCUUGGAAGUUUUGAUACUUUAUUCUUGUGUUGUAUUCAGUUUUGCGCUUACCUUUGGUCAUAUUAUUACUUUGCAUCAGACAGAUAGAGUACUCAAG